GCCUAUUAGUGGGGGACAACAUCUCGAAAGGGAUGCUAAUACCGCAUACGUCCUACGGGAGAAAGCAGGGGAUCUUCGGACCUUGCGCUAAUAGAUGAGCCUAAGUCAGAUUAGCUAGUUGGUGGGGUAAAGGCCCACCAAGGCGACGAUCUGUAACUGGUCUGAGAGGAUGAUCAGUCACACCGGAACUGAGACACGGUCCG
Molecule: ribosomal RNA, 203 nt
Filed under: Anophryoides haemophila
Lineage: Eukaryota; Ciliophora; Oligohymenophorea; Philasterida; Glauconematidae
Description: partial Bacterial small subunit ribosomal RNA
Rfam family: Bacterial small subunit ribosomal RNA
Source: RNAcentral